CCCCACUGCUAUCGGGAUGGGACUAAGACAUGCUAGUCGAGCGUCUCCAAGCUAUGGAAGAGACGCGGCACACAGCUCAGUAACACGUGGCUAACCUGCCCUUGGGACAAGGACAACUCCGGGAAACUGGGGCUAAUCCCUGAUAAGUGAGAACUCCUGGAAUGGAUUCUCGCUCAAAGGACGUUUAGACCAUGCUUCUAAGCGUCGCCCAAGGAGGGGGCCGCGACCGAUCAGGUUGUUGGUGAGGUAACGGCUCACCAAGCCUUUAACCGGUACGGGCCGUGAGGGCGGAAGCCCGGAGAUGGGCACUGAGACAAGGGCCCAGGCCCUACGGGGCGCAGCAGUCGCGAAAACUCCGCAAUACACGAAAGUGUGACGGGGCCAUCCCGAGUGCCAUCCGCUGAGGAUGGCUUUUCCCCAGUGUAUAAAGCUGGGGGAAUAAGGAGAGGGCAAGCCUGGUGUCAGCCGCCGCGGUAAUACCAGCUCUCCGAGUGGUGGGGAUGUUUAUUGGGCCUAAAGCAUUCGUAGCCUGCUUGGCAAGUCCUCCGUUAAAUCCAACGAUUCAAUCGUUGGGCUGCGGGGGAUACUGUCCGGCUAGGGGGCGGGAGAGGCCGACGGUAUCCUCGGGGUAGGGGUGAAAUCCUAUAAUCCCGGGAGGACCACCAGUGGCGAAGGCUGUCGGCUAGAACGCGCUCGACGGUGAGGGAUGAAAGCUGGGGGAGCGAACCGGAUUAGAUACCCGGGUAGUCCCAGCUGUAAACGAUGCAGGCUAGGUGUUGGCGCGGCUACGUGCCGCUCCAGUGCCGCAGGGAAGCCGUUAAGCCUGCCGCCUGGGAAGUACGGCCGCAAGGCUGAAACUUAAAGGAAUUGGCGGGGGAGCACCACAAGGUGUGAAGCUUGCGGUUU
This 906-nucleotide ribosomal RNA is filed under the name uncultured archaeon. RNAcentral's name for it is "bacterial SSU rRNA". It matches the Rfam family "Archaeal small subunit ribosomal RNA", at positions 21 to 903 of the family's 1478-position model. The record is from RNAcentral.